AAGUAAAUAGCUUAAAAUAUAAAAGCAUAACCUUGAAGAUGUUAUUAUUAGAAAUAGAUUUUCUUUUACUUA
RNAcentral lists this transfer RNA (72 nucleotides) under Oreohelix idahoensis. RNAcentral describes it as "tRNA-Phe". Lineage: Eukaryota; Metazoa; Mollusca; Gastropoda; Stylommatophora; Oreohelicidae. The record is from RNAcentral.